UGGGGAAUAUUGCACAAUGGGCGCAAGCAUGAUGCAGCAACGCCGCGUGAACGAUGAAGGUCUUCGGAUCGUAAAGUUCUGUUGCAAGGGAAGAUAAUGACGGUACCCUGUGAGGAAGCCCCGGCUAACUACGUGCCAGCAGCCGCGGUAAUACGUAGGGGGCUAGCGUUAUCCGGAUUUACUGGGCGUAAAGGGUGCGUAGGUGGUCUUUCAAGUCGGUGGUUAAAGGCUACGGCUCAACCGUAGUUAGCCUCCGAAACUGGAAGACUUGAGUGCAGGAGAGGAAAGUGGAAUUCCCAGUGUAGCGGUGAAAUGCGUAGAUAUUGGGAGGAACACCAGUAGCGAAGGCGGCUUUCUGGACUGCAACUGACACUGAGGCACGAAAGCGUGGGUAGCAAACAGG
RNAcentral lists this ribosomal RNA (403 nucleotides) under Verrucomicrobiota bacterium. RNAcentral's name for it is "Verrucomicrobia bacterium partial 16S ribosomal RNA". It matches the Rfam family "Bacterial small subunit ribosomal RNA", at positions 355 to 776 of the family's 1533-position model. The record is from RNAcentral. Lineage: Bacteria; Pseudomonadati; Verrucomicrobiota.